ACCAAUCAACGGAACGGGACAAGAAGAUACAAUCGAGAAGACGAGCGGUCCAGAUCGAGAAGAAGAUGAAGACGAAGUGCCCGACUCGCUUGAAGCGCCUGACGCGGAUCGAGAUCUCCACCAACCCAAGGGACAGCAGACGUAUCCAGAUCACCAAACGGAACAAGAAGACAAGGCGCAUGAACCGGAGCGACAAGAAGACAGAGCAGUACCUGAAUCGUUCGAAGCACCUCAAUCGGAAGGAGAUCUCCACCAACCCGAGGAACAGCAGACGGAUCCACAUCACCAAACUGAACAAGAAGACCAAGCGCAUGAAUUGGAGCAACAAGAGGACAGAGCAGUACCUGAACCGGAUGGAGAAGAUAUCCACCACCCCGAAGACAAGACAAAACCCGGCGAGAUUUCAGAUCAAAUUCCCCGUCGAUCCGGCGACAAAGCAGAGGAAGCAGCUGACGAAGUCCCGCAGACGGAUAAGCCGAUCGAAGCCCCA
RNAcentral lists this long non-coding RNA (490 nucleotides) under Musa acuminata (dwarf banana). Its description in RNAcentral is "long non-coding RNA (MACU_LNC001426)". The record is from RNAcentral. Lineage: Eukaryota; Viridiplantae; Streptophyta; Magnoliopsida; Zingiberales; Musaceae.